UACGUAGGGGGCUAGCGUUGUCCGGAAUUAUUGGGCGUAAAGAGCUCGUAGGCGGCUUGUCACGUCUGGUGUGAAAGCCCGGGGCUUAACCCCGGGUCUGCAUUCGAUACGGGCUAGCUAGAGUGUGGUAGGGGAGAUCGGAAUUCCUGGUGUAGCGGUGAAAUGCGCAGAUAUCAGGAGGAACACCGGUGGCGAAGGCGGAUCUCUGGGCCAUUACUGACGCUGAGGAGCGAAAGCGUGGGGAGCGAACAGG
RNAcentral lists this ribosomal RNA (253 nucleotides) under uncultured bacterium. Its description in RNAcentral is "partial 16S ribosomal RNA". It matches the Rfam family "Bacterial small subunit ribosomal RNA", at positions 524 to 776 of the family's 1533-position model. The record is from RNAcentral.